RNAcentral lists this transfer RNA (65 nucleotides) under Dipodomys ordii (Ord's kangaroo rat). It matches the Rfam family "tRNA". From Rfam's summary of the family: Transfer RNA (tRNA) molecules are approximately 80 nucleotides in length. Their secondary structure includes four short double-helical elements and three loops (D, anti-codon, and T loops). Lineage: Eukaryota; Metazoa; Chordata; Mammalia; Rodentia; Heteromyidae. The record is from Rfam by way of RNAcentral.
GGUGGCUCAGUGGUAGAGUGCUUGCCUUGCAUGCAGGAGGCCCUGGGUUCGAUUCCUCAGCACCG